GACGAACGCUGGCGGCGUGCUUAACACAUGCAAGUCGAACGGUAAGGCUCCAGCUUGCUGGGGUACACGAGUGGCGAACGGGUGAGUAACAAGUGGGUGACCUGCCCUGCACUUCGGGAUAAGCCUGGGAAACUGGGUCUAAUACCGGAUAGGACCGCACCGUGAGGGUGUGGUGGAAAGUUUUUUCGGUGUGGGAUGGGCCCGCGGCCUAUCAGCUUGUUGGUGGGGUAAUGGCCUACCAAGGCGGCGACGGGUAGCCGGCCUGAGAGGGUGGACGGCCACAUUGGGACUGAGACACGGCCCAGACUCCUACGGGAGGCAGCAGUGGGGAAUAUUGCACAAUGGGCGGAAGCCUGAUGCAGCGACGCCGCGUGGGGGAUGACGGCCUUCGGGUUGUAAACUCCUUUCACCAUCGACGAAGGGUUUCUGACGGUAGAUGGAGAAGAAGCACCGGCUAACUACGU
This 464-nucleotide ribosomal RNA is filed under the name uncultured bacterium. Its description in RNAcentral is "partial 16S ribosomal RNA". It matches the Rfam family "Bacterial small subunit ribosomal RNA", at positions 28 to 506 of the family's 1533-position model. The record is from RNAcentral.